GUUGUGGGCCAAAUUUGUCCUGCAGGCUAUAGUUUGGCAACAUGUCUUGGACUGGAGAAAUGUUUGACUGGAGCCAGUAAAGAAGCAGAUUUGUUGACCUCAAGAAUGCAGAAUCCUGAUACACUAUCAGCAAUGUCAAACCCUAGAGCAAUGCAGGCCUUGUACAGAUUCAGCAGGGUUUACAAACGUUAGCAACCGAAGCUCCCAACCUCAUCCCAGGGUUUACUCCUGGCCUGGGAGCAAUAGGAAACACUGGAGGCUCUUCAGAAACCAACGGGUCUAGCACUACACCCAGUGAAAACACAAGCCCCACAACAGGAACCACUGAACCUGGGCACCAGCAGUUUAUUCAGCAGGUGCUGCAGCCUCUUGCUGGAGUAAAUCCUCAGCUACAGAACCCAGAAGUCAGAUUUCAGCAACAACUGGAACAACUCAGUGCAAUGGGAUUUCUGAACCGGGAAGCCAGCUUGCAGGCGCUAAUAGCAACAGGAGGUGAUAUCAAUGCAGCUAUCGAAAGGUUACUGGGCUCCCAGCCAUCUUGGCAGCAUUUCUGUAUCUUGAAAAAAUGUAAUUUAUUUUUGAUAACGGCUCUUAAAUCUUUAAAAUACCCGCUUUAUUUUAUUUUGGCUCUUGGAAUUCUGUGCUGUUAAAAACAAACCCAAUAUGAUGCAUUUUAAGGUGGUGUUCAGUAAGAUGUGUGGGUUUUUCUGUGUUUUUCUUUUUUGGAACAGUGGGAAUCAAUGCUUUUUCACUUAAGGCUACUGCAUGCAUAAACACUUCUGCAUUUAUUGUCAUUUUUAAAAACAUCACCUUUUGUAGUUGGAUGAACAGAUUCUGUUCUGCAUCUGUCCGGUUUAUUUGCUUUUUAAAACAUUAACCUAUGGUAGUAAUUUAUGUAGAAUAAAGUGUUAAAAAGCCAA
This is an RNA transcript of Galeopterus variegatus (Sunda flying lemur), 920 nucleotides long. It is a transcript of the gene named ubiquilin-1-like, with no coding region annotated. Lineage: Eukaryota; Metazoa; Chordata; Mammalia; Dermoptera; Cynocephalidae. The transcript has 4 exons. The record is from RefSeq and is a predicted model, not a curated record.